AUCUUUCGCAAUUGACGAAAGUCUGACGGAGCAACGCUGCGUGAGUGAUGAAGGAUUUCGGAUCGUAAAAAUCUGUUGUGAGGGAAGAACAAGUAUCGGAGUCACUGCCGGUACCUUGGCGGUACCUUACGAGAAAGCCACGGCUAACUACCUUCAAGCAGCCGCGGUAAUGCGUAAGUGGCAAGCGUUGUUCGGAUUUAUUGGGCGGAAAGCGCGCGCAGGCGGUCUUUUAAGUCUGAUGUGAAAUCUUACAGCUUAACUGUAAGCGGUAAUUGGAAACUGAGUGACUUGAGUGCAGAAGAGGAGAGUGGAAUUCCAUGUGUAGCGGUGAAAUGCGUAGAGAUAUGGAGGAACAACAGUGGCGAAGGCGACUCUCUGGUCUGUAACUGACGCUGAGGCGCGAAAGCGUGGGGAGCAAACA
RNAcentral lists this ribosomal RNA (421 nucleotides) under uncultured bacterium. RNAcentral's name for it is "partial 16S ribosomal RNA". It matches the Rfam family "Bacterial small subunit ribosomal RNA", at positions 361 to 774 of the family's 1533-position model. The record is from RNAcentral.